GGGUGAUUAGCUCAGCUGGGAGAGCACCUCCCUUACAAGGAGGGGGUCGCCCUUACAAGGAGGGGGUCGGCGGUUCGAUCCCGUCAUCACCCACCA
Molecule: transfer RNA, 96 nt
Filed under: Escherichia coli
Lineage: Bacteria; Pseudomonadati; Pseudomonadota; Gammaproteobacteria; Enterobacterales; Enterobacteriaceae
Description: tRNA-Val
Rfam family: tRNA
About the family: Transfer RNA (tRNA) molecules are approximately 80 nucleotides in length. Their secondary structure includes four short double-helical elements and three loops (D, anti-codon, and T loops).
Source: RNAcentral